This is a long non-coding RNA of Rattus norvegicus (Norway rat), 593 nucleotides long. RefSeq lists it as uncharacterized. NCBI's taxonomy places the organism in Eukaryota, Metazoa, Chordata, Mammalia, Rodentia, Muridae. The record is from RefSeq and is a predicted model, not a curated record.
GGACUUCCCUACAGCUGAACAGCUUCUGUUGUAAACAGUUGUCUGAGUCCAGCCAUCUCAGGGUCAACUUCUCCAUCCUGAUGGCAGGAUCAAACAAGUUCACACUCCCAGGCCUAGGAACUCCUAUCCCACUUCUCCCAGUGUCUGCUGGACUGUCUGCUAACUGGUAAAGAAUAUAGAAAGUGCUGUUAUCUAAACCAAGGCCAGAGUCCAGGAGGGGACCUGACUGCAAAAACUGAAUUAGGACCUUGAAGCCAGGUGCCUGGACAUAGCCCAGUCUCCAACAGAUCCCCCAGGCUCUGAGAAGCUCUCACGUGCGGGAACUCUGGGACAUAGCGUUGCAGAUGACCCAGAACUUUUGAUCCUCUGUCUUCAUGUCUCAAGGCUGGACAUAUAAGCAUGCGCCACCACACUGGUUUCAUAUAUCUACCUCUAAAGAACCCACAAAAUGCUGCAAGAUUCAUGGCUCAUUUGGCCAUUACUGGAAACAUCAAUUAUGGGCUAUCCUGGACCUUUGAGGACUGAGUGAUGAUGUUCCUAGUAUUCCCUGGAUGUGAUAUUGUCAGCCCAGAAUAAAAGGGCUGUGUAAGUGC